AUUGAACGCUGGCGGCAUGCUUUACACAUGCAAGUCGAACGGUAACAGGCCUUCGGGUGCUGACGAGUGGCGAACGGGUGAGUAAUGCAUCGGAACGUGCCCAGAGGUGGGGGAUAACGCAGCGAAAGCUGUGCUAAUACCGCAUGUGAUCUGAGGAUGAAAGCGGGGGACCAGGCAGCAAUGUUUGGCCUCGCGCCUUUGGAGCGGCCGAUGUCAGAUUAGGUAGUUGGUGGGGUAAAGGCCUACCAAGCCGACGAUCUGUAGCUGGUCUGAGAGGACGACCAGCCACACUGGGACUGAGACACGGCCCAGACUCCUACGGGAGGCAGCAGUGGGGAAUUUUGGACAAUGGGCGCUAGCCUGAUCCAGCAAUGCCGCGUGCGGGAAGAAGGCCUUCGGGUUGUAAACCGCUUUUGUACGGAACGAAAAGGCUCUGGCUAAUACCUGGGGCUGAUGACGGUACCGUAAGAAUAAGCACCGGCUAACUACGUG
RNAcentral lists this ribosomal RNA (492 nucleotides) under uncultured bacterium. RNAcentral's name for it is "partial 16S ribosomal RNA". It matches the Rfam family "Bacterial small subunit ribosomal RNA", at positions 30 to 507 of the family's 1533-position model. The record is from RNAcentral.